RNAcentral lists this ribosomal RNA (507 nucleotides) under uncultured bacterium. Its description in RNAcentral is "bacterial SSU rRNA". It matches the Rfam family "Bacterial small subunit ribosomal RNA", at positions 29 to 526 of the family's 1533-position model. The record is from RNAcentral.
AUUGAACGCUGGCGGCAGGCCUAACACAUGCAAGUCGAGCGGAAACGAUCCUAGCUUGCUAGGAGGCGUCGAGCGGCGGACGGGUGAGUAAUGCAUAGGAAUCUGCCCGGUAGUGGGGGAUAACCUGGGGAAACCCAGGCUAAUACCGCAUACGUCCUACGGGAGAAAGCGGGGGACCUUCGGGCCUCGCGCUAUCGGAUGAGCCUAUGUCGGAUUAGCUGGUUGGUGAGGUAACGGCUCACCAAGGCGACGAUCCGUAGCUGGUCUGAGAGGAUGAUCAGCCACACUGGGACUGAGACACGGCCCAGACUCCUACGGGAGGCAGCAGUGGGGAAUAUUGGACAAUGGGGGCAACCCUGAUCCAGCCAUGCCGCGUGUGUGAAGAAGGCUUUCGGGUUGUAAAGCACUUUCAGUGGGGAAGAAGGCCUGCGGGUUAAUAGCCGGCAGGGACGACAUCACCCACAGAAGAAGCACCGGCUAACUCCGUGCCAGCCGCCGCCGUAAUAC